Molecule: transfer RNA, 52 nt
Filed under: Phintella cavaleriei
Lineage: Eukaryota; Metazoa; Arthropoda; Arachnida; Araneae; Salticidae
Description: tRNA-Val
Source: RNAcentral
AUUAAAUAAGCUUUUAUAGCAUUUCACUUACACUGAAAAUAAUCUCUUAAUA